GCGCAGGUGUCGCUCAUUAUCAUCAAACUCCACCGGCCUCGCUCCGCUCUCUGCCACUCGUCACAAAGCAUGAUUACUUAAAUCAAUUAUGGUUUUCUUGACUCCCAUGGCAAAAGCUGUUGGAGACACCCAGCAUAGAAAUAUUCCUAAUUCUGCUUUGCUGAGUAUGGUAGUCCACACGCACAAAGAUACAGCAAAAGAGCUACCAGACAUCAACAAAUCUCAUUUCAGGGGAAAUUAUAGAAUGGAAACCAGAGAGGUUCUCUCAACUGACAAAGCUACAGUUGUCAUCCAAAUAAAUCCACAGGCAAAUGACAGUGUUAUUUAUGUUGAUGGACAGGAGACAAUAAAACACAAUGCGGUUCUUAAAGAAUUUUUCAAAGCACAACCAAAGGCUCUGGGGGUAAUGCGU
Molecule: long non-coding RNA, 412 nt
Filed under: Sinocyclocheilus anshuiensis
Lineage: Eukaryota; Metazoa; Chordata; Actinopteri; Cypriniformes; Cyprinidae
Description: lncRNA (ENSSANG00000013999.1)
Source: RNAcentral